RNAcentral lists this unclassified non-coding RNA (182 nucleotides) under uncultured fungus. RNAcentral describes it as "sequence contains ITS1". The record is from RNAcentral. Lineage: Eukaryota; Fungi.
UUAACUUAUUUGUUUUACUCGAGAUGCCAACGCAAAGAAACAGAAUUUGUAGGCUGCCGGCGGGCUUAGCGCCUCGGGAGACCCGGGGCACCCGCCGAAGCAACGCGCUUUAUAGUAAGUUCACAGGGUUAAGGAGUCUUGCGAGUCCUGUAAUGAUCCCUCCGCUGGUUCACCAACGGAGA